This 452-nucleotide ribosomal RNA is filed under the name uncultured organism. Its description in RNAcentral is "partial 16S ribosomal RNA". It matches the Rfam family "Bacterial small subunit ribosomal RNA", at positions 333 to 801 of the family's 1533-position model. The record is from RNAcentral.
ACACUCCUGCGGGAGGCAGCAGUGGGGAAUAUUGGACAAUGGGCGCAAGCCUGAUCCAGCCAUGCCGCGUGAGUGAUGAAGGCCCUAGGGUUGUAAAGCUCUUUCACCGGUGAAGAUAAUGACGGUAACCGGAGAAGAAGCCCCGGCUAACUUCGUGCCAGCAGCCGCGGUAAUACGAAGGGGGCUAGCGUUGUUCGGAUUUACUGGGCGUAAAGCGCACGUAGGCGGACUAUUAAGUCAGGGGUGAAAUCCCGGGGCUCAACCCCGGAACUGCCUUUGAUACUGGUAGUCUUGAGUUCGAGAGAGGUGAGUGGAAUUCCGAGUGUAGAGGUGAAAUUCGUAGAUAUUCGGAGGAACACCAGUGGCGAAGGCGGUUCACUGGCUCGAUACUGACGCUGAGGUGCGAAAGCGUGGGGAGCAAACAGGAUUAGAUACCCGUGUAGUCCCAUGAU